This 197-nucleotide ribosomal RNA is filed under the name uncultured bacterium. RNAcentral describes it as "partial 16S ribosomal RNA". It matches the Rfam family "Bacterial small subunit ribosomal RNA", at positions 328 to 539 of the family's 1533-position model. The record is from RNAcentral.
ACGCUCGACACCUACGGGAGGCAGCAGUGAGGGAUAUUCGGCAAUGGGGGAAACCCUGACCGAGCAACGCCGCGUGAGGGAAGACGGUUUUCGGAUUGUAAACCUCUGUCCUCUGUGAAGAUAGUGACGGUAGCAGAGGAGGAAGCUCCGGCUAACUACGUGCCGCAGCCGCGGUAAUCUGAGCGGGCUGGCAAGGC